This 253-nucleotide ribosomal RNA is filed under the name uncultured bacterium. RNAcentral describes it as "partial 16S ribosomal RNA". It matches the Rfam family "Bacterial small subunit ribosomal RNA", at positions 524 to 776 of the family's 1533-position model. The record is from RNAcentral.
UACGUAGGGGGCAAGCGUUGUCCGGAUUUAUUGGGCGUAAAGAGCGUGUAGGCGGUCAGGUAGGUCCGUUGUGAAAACUCGAGGCUCAACCUCGAGACGCCGAUGGAAACCAUCUGACUAGAGUCCGGAAGAGGAGAGUGGAAUUCCUGGUGUAGCGGUGAAAUGCGCAGAUAUCAGGAAGAACACCCGUGGCGAAGGCGGCACUCUGGGACGGUACUGACGCUGAGACGCGAAAGCGUGGGGAGCGAACAGG